This is a long non-coding RNA of Leopardus geoffroyi (Geoffroy's cat), 690 nucleotides long. RefSeq lists it as uncharacterized. The transcript is spliced from 2 exons. NCBI's taxonomy places the organism in Eukaryota, Metazoa, Chordata, Mammalia, Carnivora, Felidae. The record is from RefSeq and is a predicted model, not a curated record.
ACCGAUCGUGUAACGUUUUCACACGAAAACUACUCCCAAAAUUAGGGUAGGUCUUAGGUUUAAUGUUUCAUAAGCAGGAAUGUUGUUUGUUCCAGACCCUAGUUCCAGGAUUUAGUCCUUUUUCAUAGAGUAACCACAUUCCUGUAUCUUAACAUAUCUGCCAAAUUUGGUUAAUGUUCUGUGUAUCUUCUCAGAGGCCAAUCUGCUCAGGAAAAUCAGAACCAGAGGAGAGAAGUGAAAAGCUUUCCUGGUAUCAGUAGUUAAAGAUCUUCGAUGACAACUUCUUGUGGCCACCAUGGACAUUGAGUGGGUGAACACUGCCAUCAACUACCACCUGCCUGGGGAUUCCCACACCUACCUGCAUCUGGUAAACUGCACACCCACAUGGACAUCCCAAUGUCCCCUCCCACCCCCUGAUUUCCUAUGUCUUCAUAACUUACAUGCUCCUCCCUUCUUUUGGGUGUCUUCCUACUUUGGGGUUUUCCCAGUGCUACUAUCUAUCUCCUUCCAUGAGACCUGAGCAGGCCAGUUUGGUCACACAGGUUUGGCCAUCAUGUUUGUGUCAGUUGAAAAGAUGCCAAGGUUCUCAGUGAGGUGCAGGGUCACAUUGAGGUCAGUAGGAGUGAGCUGCCUGAUGAGAUGGCCAUUUCCUCCUCCAGUGAGUAUUGAUCUCAUGAAACUGGCUCCUCC